CCCAAACAAAAGAAAAUCCCUCACGUUCUCUCUGUUGUGAUUUUCCCCAACCCACCAUCGAAUAAAUGAAAGAAAACCCCUUAUUUUCUGCACAAAAUUUACAGUUACUGAGCACGAAGCAACUCAAGGAAGAAUCACAUACGAUUUGGAGUCCUCACUGCGACUAAUCUUCCGUUUCUAUUGAAGUGGUCUAGGGUUCCGUUUCUGUUGAAGUGGUCUAGGGUUUCGUCCACCUUCUCAUCAAGCAAAAAUGGAGUUUCACGUGAGGCUCUCAUAAACGAUGGGUCAUGGAGUCAAUCAUUCCACCUCUCAAACUUGUACAAACACUAACAAAAUAGUGCUAUUUUAGUUUUUGUUCGCUGGAUGGAGGUUAGUCAUUUCAGUCUUGCUCAUUUAUAUAUAUUUUUUUGCAAACUAUCUAAUGUACUCCAUGAGAAAAUAUAAUUAUUUGCUUUGACUGCUUAACUUGGAAAAGUAAGCAUAAUGGACACCAUUCUUUUACUUUUUAGUAGUUUUAAUAUUGAGAAAUGUCUUACUUUUAACUGAAAUAAUUAUUAUUAUUAGUACCUAAGCAAAGGUAAUUCAACUAAUUAUAACUAACUAUUAAUUAUCAAGAUUGUCUCUCUUUAUUGAAAGUUAGUCGACCAAAAUGAUGCUACUUUAAAUUUCAAACUGUAUAAGGAAGUGACAAAGUAAGUUCUGCAGUUAUUCGGUGCUUCAGUUUAACCGAACAUUUUAAACGAAAAACAAAAAACUGAAUCUUUUUAAUUUUAAACUGAAACUUAUCAAAUAAUCGAAUAAACCGAAUUUCUCUGGUUUAAACUAUUUAAUGCCCACCCUAACAUAGAACACAAGAAAUACUAGAAAUCAAAGCAGUAACACAAGGUUGGUUAUAAAAUGAAGUUUGGUAUAUGAACAACAAUUAAAUAGGAGAAAAGAACAGAAUAUUCCUUUUUCUAUUUUAUGGAGUCCUUAGCCAAUGACAGAUGGCGGCUAUCUUCACCUUUAAACUGUUGUCUUUCAUUUGUAUCUUUGUGGGGUUAAAGAAAGUGGUUUUCUAGUAUAGAAAUUUUGGGAGUGCUUCUCUCCAGCUUCUUUUGAUUCGAGGAAAAUCAAGAAAAAUCAGGAAGAGACGCCUCAAGUUGUUUGCUGGUUAGUUUGUUAAUUGAUUGUGUUGGGGCAUAUGCCUGAUCAAACAUGUCUUGGCUAAUGUGGUAAUACAUACUACUUGUUAGCUUUGGUUUUUUUAAGACUACAAAUUUAUGUAAAUUCAAUACUAUUGGUAUGUCGCCUAUGAAGUCUUUUAUUUGCUCUUCUGAUUGCAUUAAUGAUGAAGCUAUGGUAGAAGACUCUCCAAAAAAGACGACAAUGAGGAACCAUAGAUCCAUCAAAUUCUGUUAUUGUAGAUUACAUCUAUCUCUCUAUAUUCUUUUGUUUUAUCUGCUACUUUUUCGCCAAUCUUUUUUGAAUUUGAUCCAGCCAAGGUAAUGGUAAGCUUGCCUCUAUAUCUAGAGAAGUCGAAUUUAUGAACUUCAGUUGGUUGACUCCACUGCAGCAUGCAUUUUCUUCACUUUUUGUCUAGUGAGACUGGAGAUAAAUGAAGUUAUUGCAUAGGUGGCGUGUCAAAAUUGUCAAUCAUCAAAAAAUAUAUGUAAACGUUCUUCAAAUGUGCAUACUCCAAUAGAUAAACAGCUUGAUAGUGUGAUGUCUCUGAAAUUUUGGGGUUCUGAAAUUUCGGGAUUCAUUUUUAUAGAUUCAACUUUAUUUUCUAUUAGAUGAAUUUUAGAAGUAAUAAGAUAUCAAGGUCUCUUCUUUCUUCUUUAAUGGUUUAUUCUUUGUUACUAAAAUCUGACAUAUACUUGUUCUUUGAACAGAUCAAGAAUUCAAAGUUGAAGAACCUGUCCUUGAAGAAAGUGUAGAGCAAGUUGAAGUGGAGAGUUUUUUUUUUUGUUUUGUUAGGGAUGGUUCAAAGACGAUGUCUUAUGUACAUAUUCCUCAAUUUUGUUCUCUCAUUUUAGAAACUGAUAAAAAUGUUGUCGUACAAUUUGGAUGGAUAUUUUAUGGUACUAUGAUGUUUUAGUUCUUUGUAUUAACAAUGAAAAUUUAUAUGAAUAUAGAUUAUUGUUCUACUUC
This is a long non-coding RNA of Lycium barbarum (goji berry), 2133 nucleotides long. RefSeq lists it as uncharacterized. The transcript has 2 exons. Lineage: Eukaryota; Viridiplantae; Streptophyta; Magnoliopsida; Solanales; Solanaceae. The record is from RefSeq and is a predicted model, not a curated record.